UACGUAGGGUGCAAGCGUUAUCCGGAAUUAUUGGGCGUAAAGAGCUCGUAGGCGGUUUGUCGCGUCUGCUGUGAAAACUGGAGGCUCAACCUCCAGCCUGCAGUGGGUACGGGGCAGACUAGAGUGCGGUAGGGGGAGAUUGGAAUUCCUGGUGUAGCGGUGGAAUGCGCAGAUAUCAGGAGGAACACCGAUGGCGAAGGCAGAUCUCUGGGGCCGUAACUGACGCUGAGGAGCGAAAAGCAUGGGGGAGCGAACAGG
Molecule: ribosomal RNA, 258 nt
Filed under: uncultured bacterium
Lineage: Bacteria
Description: partial 16S ribosomal RNA
Rfam family: Bacterial small subunit ribosomal RNA
Source: RNAcentral